GACGAACGCUGGCGGCGUGCUUAACACAUGCAAGUCGAACGGACAGGCCCUGCUUUUGUGGGGUGCUCGAGUGGCGAACGGGUGAGUAACACGUGAGUAACCUGCCCUUGACUUUGUGAUAACUUCAGGAAACUGGGGCUCAUACCCGAUAGGAGCUCCUGCUGCAUGGUGGGGGUUGGAAAGUUUCGGCGGUUGGGGAUGGACUCGCGGCUUAUCCGCUUGUUGGUGGGGUAGUGGCUUACCAAGGCUUUGACGGGUAGCCGGCCUGAGAGGGUGACCGGCCACAUGGGGACUGAGAUACGGCCCAGACUCCUACGGGAGGCAGCAGUGGGGAAUAUUGCACAAUGGGCGGAAGCCUGAUGCAGCAACGCCGCGUGCGGGAUGACGGCCUUCGGGUUGUAAACCGCUUUCGCCUGUGACGAAGCGUGAGUGACGGUAAUGGGUAAAGAAGCACCGGCUAACUACGUG
Molecule: ribosomal RNA, 468 nt
Filed under: uncultured bacterium
Lineage: Bacteria
Description: partial 16S ribosomal RNA
Rfam family: Bacterial small subunit ribosomal RNA
Source: RNAcentral